CCCUUAGAUGUUCUGGGCCGCACGCGCGCUACACUGAUGCAUUCAACGAGCCUAUCCUUGACUGACAGGUCCGGGUAAUCUUUGAAUCUGCGUCGUGACGGGGAUAGAUUAUUGCAAUUAUUAAUCUUCAACGAGGAAUGCCUAGUAGGCGCAAGUCAUCAGCUUGCGUUGAUUACGUCCCUGCCCUUUGUACACACCGCCCGUCGCUCCUACCGAUUGAAUGGUCCGGUGAAGCGUUUGGACUAUGGUUUUCUGAUGGUCCGCCGUUGGAUUACCGUGGGAAGUUCGUUAAACCUUAUCAUUUAGAGGAAGGAGAAGUCGUAACA
This 326-nucleotide ribosomal RNA is filed under the name uncultured eukaryote. Its description in RNAcentral is "partial 18S ribosomal RNA". It matches the Rfam family "Eukaryotic small subunit ribosomal RNA", at positions 1470 to 1796 of the family's 1831-position model. The record is from RNAcentral.